AACAGAGUAGGUUGUCUACGUUAAGUGCUUCUAGAUGGGAUGUAGCUAGAAGACGAAGCGAGCAGUGCGCGAUAGACGACCGCCUCCGCUGUA
This 93-nucleotide non-coding RNA is filed under the name Facklamia languida. Its description in RNAcentral is "THF-I sequence". It matches the Rfam family "THF (Tetrahydrofolate) riboswitch aptamer". From Rfam's summary of the family: THF riboswitch presents a pseudoknot that joins P1-P2 and the loop of P3 and two THF binding. RNAcentral also lists the same sequence under 1 other name. Lineage: Bacteria; Bacillati; Bacillota; Bacilli; Lactobacillales; Aerococcaceae. The record is from RNAcentral.